GACGAACGCUGGCGGCGUGCCUAAUACAUGCAAGUCGAGCGCAGGAAAUCGACGGAACCCUUCGGGGGGAAGUCGACGGAAUGAGCGGCGGACGGGUGAGUAACACGUAAAGAACCUGCCCUCAGGUCUGGGAUAACCACGAGAAAUCGGGGCUAAUACCGGAUGGGUCAUCGGACCGCAUGGUCCGAGGAUGAAAGGCGCUUCGGCGUCGCCUGGGGAUGGCUUUGCGGCGCAUUAGCUAGUUGGUGGGGUAAUGGCCCACCAAGGCGACGAUGCAUAGCCGACCUGCGAGGGGGAGCGGCCACACGGGGACUGAGACACGGCCCAGACUCCUACGGGAGGCAGCAGUAGGGAAUCGUCCACAAUGGACGAAAGUCUGAUGGAGCAACGCCGCGUGAACGAUGAAGGCCUUCGGGUCGUAAAGUUCUGUUGUAAGGGAAGAACAAGUGCCGCAGGCAAUGGCGGCACCUUGACGGUAACACAUGAAUAAGGAUCGGCUAACUACGUGCCAGCCGCCGCAGUAA
RNAcentral lists this ribosomal RNA (524 nucleotides) under uncultured bacterium. RNAcentral's name for it is "partial 16S ribosomal RNA". It matches the Rfam family "Bacterial small subunit ribosomal RNA", at positions 28 to 523 of the family's 1533-position model. The record is from RNAcentral.